UUACCAGGUUGACAUACAAGUAGUAGGGAAGGGAAACUGGACGACCUUCGGGAGCUUGUACAGGUGCUGCAUGGCUGUCGUCGGCUCGUGUCGUGAGAUGUCCGGUUAAGUCCGCUAACGAGCGCAACCCUCGCUGUGUGUUACAAGUGUCACACGGAACUGCCGGUCAUAAACCGGAGGAAGGUGGGGAUGACGUCAAGUCAGCAUGGCCUUUAUAUCCUGGGCUACACACACGCUACAAUGGGAAGGGACAAUAGGUUGCGAAGCCGCGAGGCGGAGCCAAUCCAGCAAAACUUCCCUCAGUUCAGAUUGCAGGCUGCAACUCGCCUGCAUGAAGUUGGAGUUGCUAGUAAACGCAGGUCAGCCAUACUGCGUUGAAUACGUUCCCGGGGCUU
This 395-nucleotide ribosomal RNA is filed under the name uncultured Anaerolineaceae bacterium. RNAcentral describes it as "bacterial SSU rRNA". It matches the Rfam family "Bacterial small subunit ribosomal RNA", at positions 971 to 1382 of the family's 1533-position model. Lineage: Bacteria; Bacillati; Chloroflexota; Anaerolineae; Anaerolineales; Anaerolineaceae. The record is from RNAcentral.